This 253-nucleotide ribosomal RNA is filed under the name uncultured bacterium. RNAcentral's name for it is "partial 16S ribosomal RNA". It matches the Rfam family "Bacterial small subunit ribosomal RNA", at positions 524 to 776 of the family's 1533-position model. The record is from RNAcentral.
UACGAAGGUCCCAAGCGUUAUCCGGAUUUAUUGGGUUUAAAGGGUGCGUAGGCGGCUUUGUAAGUCAGUGGUGAAAUAUGGCAGCUCAACUGUCAAGGUGCCAUUGAUACUGCGGAGCUUGAGUACAGAUGAGGUAGGCGGAAUUGACGGUGUAGCGGUGAAAUGCUUAGAUAUCGUCAAGAACACCUAUAGCGAAGGCAGCUUACUAGGCUGUAACUGACGCUGAGGCACGAAAGUGUGGGGAUCAAACAGG